CAGAGUUGAGCUGCACAAUUCCAACAUGGUAACAUAGCUAAGGUUAGCCUAAUCCCUUUCCACCGUCGCCGGCGUGCCACCGGCGACCCGCCGAUGAGCAGCCACCGCCGGCCGGCGAAGAGCAGCUCCACCUCUCUUCUUUUUCUUCUUCCCCCUCCUCCCCUUUCCUUCCUUCUCUUCACACCCCCCCCAUCUCUCCUUCCUUUUCAUGCCUCUCGCCCGCCCCCACGCCCGCGCCUCCUCGCCUCCGCGCUCCCCGGCGGUCCCGUGCCUCCGUGCGCUCUGGCGGCUCCGCGUCUGCUCCGUGCGGCCCCGCGACCCGCGCGUCGCAUCCUGCACAGCGCCCCGCGCGGCUCCCCAGCGCCAGCCACGCCUCGCCUCCCGCGGCCCUGAGGCCCCGUGCCCCGAGGCCCCACCGCCCCGCCUCCCCCUGCGGUCCCUGCGCCGCGUUCCCCCGCGCGCCCCGCCUUACCUCCCCCCUCCCGCGGGCCACAGCUGCGGGCGCCCCCUGCGCCACGUCUCUCGCGGGGCGCUGCUGCCUGCUUCGUCCCUCGCCCAGAGAAGGGAACCAUUUCUCUCUCUCUCCAAAAAAAAAACCCGGGCCGAUGGCCUCUUCUACCACUGUCUGUGGCUCUGCCAUAGAGUAGGAGCUGCUUGUUCCGCCGCCUCAAUGCAGCUACUUCCUUCCUGUCUGGGACUACUGCUCGUGCUUCUGUUUCACCACCACUGCAUCCUUACCGAGACACAUCAUCUCAAUGGUUCCUUGAUUUUGGUGCUUCAUUUCAUAUGACUCCAGAUUCUACCCAGUUGUCUUUCUUGUCCUCCGUUGAUCACCCUCUUCUUGUUCAGACAACUGAUGGCACCUCUCUUUCAGUACCGGACGAGCUGAUGUCUGCUGGCUAGAUCACAGAUCAUGGAUGUCGCAUCAUUCUUGAGUCAGACUCUUGUUGUGUGCGGGAUCUUCGCACGGGACUUCUAGUGGGGACUGGGCCUAGGUGCCAUGACUCUCAGCGUCUUUGGGAGCUUGACUGGCUUCGCCUUCCCUCAUCCAUUGUGGCGAGUCCCUCAUCCACCUCACCUGCCCCCGCGGUUGCUGCUUCUGCUACUCUGCACCUACCUUUGCUCGGUGGCAUCGUCGCCUUGGCCAUCUCUCCGGUUCGAGGCUUUCCACUCUUGUGGGCUGUGGUGUUUUAGGUCCUGUGUCUGGUGAUGCUGCACUUCAUUGUAUGGGUUGCAAACUUGGUAAACAGUUGCAACUCCCUUAUACAUACAGUGAUUCUGUAUCGCAGCGUUCUUUUGAUCUCAUUCACUUUGAUGUAUGGGGGUCUGCUACUUUUGUCUCGAAAGGGGGUCACUCUUAUUAUGCUAUUUUCAUCGAUGAUUAUUCACGGUUUACCUGGAUCUA
Molecule: long non-coding RNA, 1405 nt
Organism: Panicum hallii
Lineage: Eukaryota; Viridiplantae; Streptophyta; Magnoliopsida; Poales; Poaceae
Exons: 2
Source: RefSeq, a predicted model, not a curated record